Molecule: transfer RNA, 74 nt
Filed under: Candidatus Woesebacteria bacterium
Lineage: Bacteria; Candidatus Woeseibacteriota
Description: tRNA-Arg
Rfam family: tRNA
About the family: Transfer RNA (tRNA) molecules are approximately 80 nucleotides in length. Their secondary structure includes four short double-helical elements and three loops (D, anti-codon, and T loops). Further hydrogen bonds mediate the characteristic L-shaped molecular structure. tRNAs have two regions of fundamental functional importance: the anti-codon, which is responsible for specific mRNA codon recognition, and the 3' end, to which the tRNAs corresponding amino acid is attached (by aminoacyl-tRNA synthetases). tRNAs cope with the degeneracy of the genetic code in two manners: having more than one tRNA (with a specific anti-codon) for a particular amino acid; and 'wobble' base-pairing, i.e. permitting non-standard base-pairing at the 3rd anti-codon position.
Source: RNAcentral
GUCCUUGUAGCUCAAUCGGAUAGAGCAACUCCCUUCUAAGGAGUAGGUUGGGGGUUCGAGUCCCUUCAAGGACG